GAGAUCAGCGAUCGAGAAAGUGAUCCAGAGCGCCAAGCCAUUUCUUAACACGCUCAGUCAGUGGCCAGGAAACGAAGGUAGGCCGGGUGUGAGGGUUUUGCGAAGGGUUUAUGCCUGGGGCCUAAUCUAUCCAUACUAUACUAUAUCUUGAAGCACGUGACUUCCGCAUGGUUGUCCAAGUCCUCGGUCCAGCUCCGAUAUUACUGCUCUCUCUCUCUCUCUCUCUCUCUCUCUCUCUCUCUUAUUGCAUAGAAGCCAAAAUACACCCUCUGCCCCAAAUACUCUGCUUGCAAAGACAGAGGGCAGCACCUACCCCUCUUGCGAUUUUUUCGUCCUUCCUCUACCCUAAGACAAAUCGCAGCCCCGUACCUGCUCCACCAUUCAGACUCUCAAAUCAAAUCCAACCGAGCAUAGCUAACCUCACACACAAUUGCCAGUAUGGUGCUCUUGCUGCUAUUUGCCUGCUCCCAAAUUCAACUCUGUAUUUUUCGUCGAUGGUUUUCAAAUUUGGGUUCGGUGGCAAGCAGUGAAAGACAAGUGAAAUGAGCGGGUAACGACAGCGAGCGGCGGUGGCUGGUCUCUUUCGCGUGUCGUCUUGACGCGUGUCGUUCGGCACGUGAGCCUGUAGGAGCUAGUACUGUUCGGCCGGGUGGUAUGACGUCCAUCCGCAAUUCGCCUGUUCUGAUUUCCUGCUCGGUUGGAUUUGUGAGCUGUUGCUGUCAAUCGCAUGUUUAGGAGCUAAUUCGACUCCUUAUUUCUCUUUGGAGGUUGUCAAAUUUCAUUGGGGACUAGCUUUGACUAUAAGGGUUUCAUGGUUUCUCAUCUCUCAAUGGAUUCGUUCUGAAUAACGAGUUUGCAUCUGUUCUGGCGUUCAGGAGCUGUGGAGUCCGAGUCUUGCUUCCUUCUUAUUCAGCUAAAGAAGAAGAUGCUGACAGUCACACCACCGCGUGCUUUUAAUCCUUUGACACAACCAUUUGCCCAUUUAUCACGGGGAAGUGCAGGAAGCAAGUACAGAUCCUUCAUCGUGCUCUGAACAAGCAUUUCUGAAAUCGCCGCUGAAAAACUGGCAACAAAAAUUGCACAAUGAGAUCUGUCGAGCCAGAAUUGAAAUUUUUUUUUUUUUUUUUUUUGGGUGCUGCUUAUUUUGUAAAAAGGUAUUAAAAACUUUAUCAACUGCUUCAGUGGAAGUAGACUAUUCAUGCUUAAACCUGCUGAUCAAAGUAAAUAAAUAAACCAGCAUACACCUGAAAAGACAA
Malania oleifera is the source of this 1256-nucleotide long non-coding RNA. RefSeq lists it as uncharacterized. The transcript has 3 exons. The record is from RefSeq and is a predicted model, not a curated record. NCBI's taxonomy places the organism in Eukaryota, Viridiplantae, Streptophyta, Magnoliopsida, Santalales, Ximeniaceae.